This 1644-nucleotide unclassified non-coding RNA is filed under the name uncultured fungus. Its description in RNAcentral is "sequence contains 18S rRNA gene, ITS1, 5.8S rRNA gene, ITS2, 28S rRNA gene". The stretch from base 604 to 1644 matches the Rfam family "Eukaryotic large subunit ribosomal RNA", at positions 1 to 961 of the family's 3401-position model. The record is from RNAcentral. Lineage: Eukaryota; Fungi.
GGAAGGAUCAUUACAAAUCGAAUGGGGGGUGGGUUGAGUUGAGCUUGGGGAUUUUCUCUCUCUCUCUCUCUCUCACUCUCAUAUAAGCACGGAGGAUGGUGAGUGUGGUGUGGUGUGGUAUGGAGUGAUAUGGUAUGGUAUGGAGUGAUUUGGAUGGACGAGCUUGAACGCUUGUACACUCUGCUCACUACAUGCACACUACACUACUACAUGCACACUGCACUACACUCUUCACUCUCUGAUGUUCACGCUUGCUUGUUUGACAGAGUAUAUUACAGUGACACAUGAAUGACAACUUUUAACAAUGGAUCUCUUGGCUCUUGCAACGAUGAAGAACGCAGUAAAGUGCGAUAUGUAGUGCGAUUUGCAUGAAUCUGUGAGUCAUCUAAUCUUUGAACGCAACUUGCGCCUCUUCCGAGGCAUGUCUAUCUGAGUGUCGCAUAAACCCAUGCAGCAAUGCGAUGUGGGCCAAGCCAAGACUCUGGCUGGACCAAAAUGAAGCAAGACAGUGGAUCCGUGAUAUCCUUGGUGCCGAGUGCUAAGCAUUCUCAGUGCCGGGACACGGAGCCACGUGGGAUCAUCAUCAAUCCCCUCUUCUUACCCUGACCUCAGAUUAGGCAAGAUCACCCGCUGAACUUAAGCAUAUCAGUAAGCGGAGGAAAAGAAACUAACAAGGAUUCCCCUAGUAACGGCGAGUGAAGCGGGACCAGCUCAAAGUUAAAAUCUCGGCGCAUGCGCGUCGCGAAUUGUAGACUAAAGAAGGCAAUCUCUAGGACACCAGUGAUGAUCAAGUCCCUUGGAACAGGGCGCCAGAGAGGGUGAGAGCCCCGUAGGAUCAUUAAAGGGCGUCCCAAGUGAGGGCCUCUCUACGAGUCGAGUUGUUUGGGAAUGCAGCUCAAAGUGGGUGGUAAAUCUCAUCUAAGGCUAAAUACAGGCAAGAGACCGAUAGCGAACAAGUACCGUGAGGGAAAGAUGAAAAGCACCUUGAAAAGGGAGUUAAACAGUGCGUGAAAUUGUUAAAAGGGAAACGAUAGAGACCAGUGUUGGUUGACGAGCCAAGCGGGUGCCUCGGUGCACGUAGCACUCGACGACCGAGUCAAUGACAGUUGCUCGUGUCGGAUACGCAGGCCGGGAAGGUGGGGUGGUCCCUCGGGACGGCUCUUUAUAGACUGGCAUUGCUGCGGCAGGGGCGACUGGAGAGGAUAGCGGGGGGACACGGCGGCACGGGUAGGGGACAGCUAGGGGGGACGACAGCAUGCUGACGGCCUCGAUUAGCGGACCCAUUCGACGGGCGGCCUAGCCCCUCGCGCCCUUGACGAAAUGGUCUUUAGCGACCCGUCUUGAAACACGGACCAAGGAGUCUAACAAGCUUGCGAGCGUUCGAGUGGCAAACUCUAGACGCGCAACAAACGUGAUAACCUGCCAACCCUACACGGUGCAGCAGGGACCGGCCUGGGGACAACUCCCCGGGACCGAGUAAGAGCAGAAUUGUUGGGACCCGAAAGGCGGUGAACUAUGCCUGACUAGGGCGAAGCCAGAGGAAACUCUGGUGGAGGCUCGUAGCCGUUCUGACGUGCAAAUCGAUGGUCAAAGUUGGGUAUAGGGGCGAAAGACUAAUCGAACCGCCUAGUAGCUGGUUCCCUC